Molecule: long non-coding RNA, 973 nt
Filed under: Apteryx owenii (little spotted kiwi)
Lineage: Eukaryota; Metazoa; Chordata; Aves; Apterygiformes; Apterygidae
Description: lncRNA (ENSAOWG00000004474.1)
Source: RNAcentral
CAGCACUGUACAUACAUGCUUGCACAGUUGUGUGUGGAAAUGAAUUAAUGGCAGAAGAUGCAGUUAUGCAGAUUUUGGGAGUGAUGGAGAGGGUCUGUGAUGGGGACAACGACUUGCUACUUCUAGCAGUAGUUGGCUGACUUCUGACAUUGUUUGUUCUGAAUGCAGUCGGAUUUCUUGGAACGUGACCAGAAGGAGGUGUAAUGAGUACCGGGAGACUGAGUCUUUGUUUUGCCAUAGAGAAUAGCACUGUGUUUAAAAUGGAAGUUGACAUAAAUGGAGAAUCCAGAACUACCAUAUCUACCCUUCCUGUACCUCUCGCAGAGGUCUUUCAAUAGUACCAGAGAAUCUGAAACAGAAAAUAAACAGCAUGAUCAAAUUUUAAACUCUGCCUGCUUGGAAGCUUUAGUAGUUUGGCAGUAGAGAAUGGCAUCAAGGCAACCCUACAGAAGAAUUAUGUAGGUCACAUUAGAAGACCUCAGGAAAGAAGACCGUCUGUCUGUGGAGAAAAAAUCCAGAAUCAGCUGACUUCAUUGAAGACGAAAGGUUCACAGCGAAGACCCUUCAGUCAGUGGGAAGUGACUGGGAGAUGUCUACAUGAAGAGCAAGGAGAGCGUGGAGCCCACAGCAGGUCGUAUCCGUCACUGAUGAAACUGCUAAACAGCUUUCAGCCUUAUGUUGGCAACACUAGAAAUCCUGAUUCCCUACUGGCAACUGCUUCUGCAGAGUGUAGCAUGAGAUACUUGGCUGCAAAUUUUAGAGAGGAAUCCAUAAAUCUUUAGAGAUAGGUAGAAGAUGGAAGAGUAGGAUAGUACAAAAUAUUUUGUAUUCUAAAUCCUGUAUUUCUCAUAUAUAUAUAUAUAUAUAUAUAUAUUACAAAAGAUUUUGUUUAAAUUGCCUAUAAUAGAAGGUGUUUGGUCAGUGUGAUAAAGAUAUUAGGAGAAAAACACUGUUUCAUCAGGAAGAAGUCACA